Molecule: unclassified non-coding RNA, 413 nt
Filed under: soil metagenome
Description: partial contains 5.8S ribosomal RNA, internal transcribed spacer 2, and large subunit ribosomal RNA
Rfam family: 5.8S ribosomal RNA (bases 1-120)
Source: RNAcentral
GAUGAAGAACGUAGCGAAAUGCGAUAAGUAAUGUGAAUUGCAGAAUUCAGUGAAUCAUCGAAUCUUUGAACGCAUCUUGCGCUCUCUGGUAUUCCGGAGAGCACGCCUGUUUGAGUGUCAUGAAACUCUCACCCCUUGCCUUUCUUAAUUGAUCGGUCGAGGGCGUGGACGUGAGCGUUGCCGGUGUUCAUCAUCGGCUCGCUUGAAAUGAAUUAGCUGAAUCUCUAUACUGUGUGGUUCUACUCAACGUGAUAAGUACUCCGUUGAGGACAGUGGGGCUUGCCCUGCUGGCCACGGGAAUGGAUCGAUACGCUUCUAAUCAGCACAGACUUCGGGAGCUGGCAACUAUGACAAUCUGGCCUCAAAUCAGGUGGGACUACCCGCUGAACUUAAGCAUAUCAAUAAGCGGAGGA